RNAcentral lists this long non-coding RNA (426 nucleotides) under Gallus gallus (chicken). RNAcentral's name for it is "long non-coding RNA NONGGAT004454". The record is from RNAcentral. Lineage: Eukaryota; Metazoa; Chordata; Aves; Galliformes; Phasianidae.
AGCCAAAGUGCUGAGCCCAAACCAGUGAGCCCUGCUGGGUCUCACUUGGAGUUAACCCCCAAAGUGCUGUUCUGAUCACACUGACAGGGCAAACGCGCCUCUAAGCAUCGCUUUCUGAUGGGUUUUGGCUCACCUAUUGGAUUUCACUCAUUUUCCACAGGAAACAUUUUUAGUGUUCAUGUUAUGCUGCAUUUGAAAACAAGUGUCUUCUGAUAAACUGUGCAACCUUCAGCUGAGCAGCCCCUGUUUAUCUGCAUCACAUCUGCACUGUGUUGCAAGAACAGAGGAUGUAUUUCUCUAAGUGGUCCAAAUGUGUUUUACUGGGCUAACUUUGAACUGACGGUGUUCCUCACUCCAGCCACAUCAGCAGAGAGCCAUUAAAAAAACAAAACAAAACAAACAAACAAAAACAACUGGGGGGAGAAU